This 1526-nucleotide long non-coding RNA is filed under the name Equus caballus (horse). Its description in RNAcentral is "lncRNA (ENSECAG00000044282.1)". The record is from RNAcentral. Lineage: Eukaryota; Metazoa; Chordata; Mammalia; Perissodactyla; Equidae.
CAAAAAUAACAUUACCAUUCAAUCAUUAAACGACUUCUCAACAAAAAUUUUUCCACAGUGGAAAAUGUGUUUAGAAGAUGGUCUGCUGGUUCCACACUAUGAAGAUCUCUGGAAGACACGCUUUGCCUCCCUCCUUUAGGGCAACAGAGGCUUGCUCUCUGUCAUUCCUGGAAGGCUGUGUUGCUUAUUUGGCGUGGAAUUCGAGAGAGUGAUCUGGGAAGAAGUUGGCAUGAAAGGCUUGAUGUACAGAACAAUAUCAUCCGCUCUCAUGAUCUGUGGACUGGAACCGGAGCUCAAAGGCUGCAGCCUUUCUGGCUCACACUGUGCAAGGGGAAACGGCUGGUGCUCAUGUUUUAUUGGAAGGAUGGGAACAAAGGAUGUUAAGAGGACUACACAGGGACCGUGGGAGUCAUAACAAGUCUUGUGAAAUUGUUUCAACUCCUUUCCUCAACCUUAGCUGUUGUGACAAAUGUGUCAAAGCUUUAGACAGGGAAUACUGGAUGCUGAUGGAGCCUGGGUCGAUGUAGCACAUGGCUGUGCCUCCACGUUAAGGUACUGAUCAGGAAGGAGAGAAAGAGGAAAGUCUUUGAAGAAAGAUGAGGGUACUGACGUUUAUUCUUAAACUAGCUAAGCAUUACUACUUUAAGAAAAAUUUCGUUUCUGGUCUGGAAAGCCACUUUUUCACAAGCAUUUCAACUGCUUUGUAUUUGGAUGGAUGUCAUUACAAUUCAUUGACCUGAGAUUGAAAUAUAAAAAAACAACUGGUAUUCGGAAAAAUGUAUUCAUCUCCAAGUGUGCAAGUACCUUGCUCCCAGAUGUGAAGGAGUGUUUUUGCCUUUCCUAGGCCAGCUGUCGUCAAUCUGGAGACUUCAUUUAGAUUGUCUGUGAACAAGUAUGUUUUGGGUAAAUUGUGACUUCUCUGCAAGGGAACAAGAUAUGUAUUAAAGCCCGCAUGGAUUCCCUCUGGGACAUAUAUCUGGGGCUGAGCUCAAAGUGAUGAUUGCGGAAGUGCCCUGAGUAAGUUGCCAAUGUGUCUGCUGCCUACUGUACAAAGAUUUCAAGUUUGCAAGCCCGUGAAUUCUUCCACGACUAUCCAUGAGCACAGAGAGAAGUAAAUAUUGAGUUCUGCAGAUGGCACCUUAUUUCCCUUUAGAUCACCAGGAUCAGACAAUAAAAGAACACUAGUAGCCUUGCCAGAGGGAGCAAAGGCCACCACAUGUCUGGGAACCGAAUAUGAAGUUUCAUUGGCUUAGAGUCCACCAUUUUUCUAAAUCAUCAUCCAGCUUUAAGGAGAAGUUAAAGCAGAAACGUGUUUCUAAUGCAAGUGGCUGGACUUUGGAUGGUUUUUGAAGGAUACAGGUCAUAGUUUUGUUUCUAGAUUCGAGAGACUGCCUCAUCACCAGAAAAUGAAGAAGUGAGGACCCCAAAGAACUUGAUUCUUAUUUUCUGCUCUUGUACCCAGCCUGAUAGACAUCUUCACUCACUUUUUUUUAUACACACUUUAAAAUUUGCAUCUGCAAAAUGGG